CCUAUAAUUUUAGAAAAAUAUAUAAAGUCAAAUAUAUGUAUAUGUACCAGUUACAUGAAAAUGAUGUUAAAGCUAGUUUACAAAAAUGAUGUACAACUAAAGAGCCAUACACUAUCCCGUUCUCUUUACAAAAUACAUGUGUAAAUGGUCAUAAAUUAUGUGAAUGGUUAAACGAGUCGCUAUCUACAUCGGAAGUAAAAAUGUACAAAGAUGCGGAAACAUUCCUGUCGAAAGUCCGGGGAUAAUUGAUACAUAUCAAUUUGAUAAAUCUCGAAAGAGCAUCACCCUCGGUAAAAAUUGCACGAUUUAUAAUGGCGACUAGCUUUCUGCAUAUUUAAUAAUAACAAUAUCUCAAUUACAACAACGUAAAUAUAACUUCGUUAUUGUCGUCCAGAAACUCUUUUACAAGAAUCCAAGAAGCGAAACAUACACUCUCAUUCGCAUAAAUUCAUCCAACAGAGGACAACGUCCAUAAUUCAUCGUUGUUUUAAAAGCAGAAUCUAAAUUAUAGUAAUAACGAUUCAUUGCAACGAAAAGAAAUAGGGAAUUACAGUUCCAUUGAGAGAACAAAGAACGAGAACCAAUGAAAAGAGCCGAUUUCUCGAAUGACGGAGCAGUGAACAAAAAUCAAAAUGCUUUAUUCAAUCCAUAGAGAACGGAGAUUUUAUUAUCAGCAAAAGUGAACAAAAUCAAUAAAAUCGUGAUCGUUUGAACGGGCCACGAUGGUAUAAUCCUCUUCUUAUCACAAAGGGCGAUUUCUAUAAUGUGUACGAUAGUAACGUGUAUCAACUAUCCCCAACUUCUUCUAAUCGAUGCGUAAUUUACGUGUAAGAGAGUUACUAACCAAACUCGAGCCGGCAGAAGAAGCAGACGUGGCAGCAGAGGUAGGCACCGUCAAUAUUGAAUGAUAUUGUCUACGACCGCGAAGCCGCAUGCCCCAAGACCAGCGUGUGACAUUAGCCGUACCAAUUCUCUCGCGUGAGACGCGGCCACUUCCAACGGCGGCCGUCGUGGCAAGUUACUCGACUCUAGAAGUAGCAGAUGAUCGACAUUAAAUUGUUGGAAUCUGAAUAGAAUACGUGAAACUAAGAUACGUCAUAAGAUACGUUAGAAUUAAAGACUAAAUCAAAAAUAAGAUUCGGCUGUGUUGAUUUAAAAAGUGUUACUAUUAAAUACAUGAGAUACCGUGAAUACACACAGAUUAAAAAUAUUAGUUUUUUACCGUAAUUUUAGAAAAUUAUACUUUAUAUUAGAAACGCUGUUUUAUUAUUAAAUUUGAAUAUAUUGCUAGAUAAUCAUUCUAAUUAAAUAAGCAAUUUAACAAGCACUUUGUGCAAUAGUCAAAAAUUGUAAUUUUCUUACCGAGUAUGGCAGAAUUGAGUCUCGCGCAGACGGUUUCCCUCUGUUGGGGAUCGAGUUGCCAACCAACCGGCGAGUUCCAUGGAUUUGCAUA
Long non-coding RNA from Bombus terrestris (buff-tailed bumblebee), 1453 nucleotides. RefSeq lists it as uncharacterized. The record is from RefSeq and is a predicted model, not a curated record. The transcript is spliced from 2 exons. Lineage: Eukaryota; Metazoa; Arthropoda; Insecta; Hymenoptera; Apidae.